AUUGAAGUACUGAUUCCCAUACGAUCACUGAAGUUAAACAAUGUUGAGCCUGGUCAGUACCUAGAUGGGUGACCACUUGGGAAUACCAGGUGUUGUAAG
Non-coding RNA from Acanthosepion pharaonis, 99 nucleotides. NCBI's taxonomy places the organism in Eukaryota, Metazoa, Mollusca, Cephalopoda, Sepiida, Sepiidae. The record is from the annotation of a GenBank genome assembly.